AAGCCGGGCGGGGUGCUAUACAUGCAGUCGAGCGAACGGACGAGAAGCUUGCUUCUCUGAUGUUAGCGGCGGACGGGUGAGUAACACGUGGAUAACCUACCUAUAAGACUGGGAUAACUUCGGGAAACCGGAGCUAAUACCGGAUAAUAUUUUGAACCGCAUGGUUCAAAAGUGAAAGACGGUCUUGCUGUCACUUAUAGAUGGAUCCGCGCUGCAUUAGCUAGUUGGUAAGGUAACGGCUUACCAAGGCAACGAUGCAUAGCCGACCUGAGAGGGUGAUCGGCCACACUGGAACUGAGACACGGUCCAGACUCCUACGGGAGGCAGCAGUAGGGAAUCUUCCGCAAUGGGCGAAAGCCUGACGGAGCAACGCCGCGUGAGUGAUGAAGGUCUUCGGAUCGUAAAACUCUGUUAUUAGGGAAGAACAUAUGUGUAAGUAACUGUGCACAUCUUGACGGUACCUAAUCAGAAAGCCACGGCUAACUACGUGCCAGCAGCCGCGGUAAUACGUAGGUGGCAAGCGUUAUCCGGAAUUAUUGGGCGUAAAGCGCGCGUAGGCGGUUUUUUAAGUCUGAUGUGAAAGCCCACGGCUCAACCGUGGAGGGUCAUUGGAAACUGGAAAACUUGAGUGCAGAAGAGGAAAGUGGAAUUCCAUGUGUAGCGGUGAAAUGCGCAGAGAUAUGGAGGAACACCAGUGGCGAAGGCGACUUUCUGGUCUGUAACUGACGCUGAUGUGCGAAAGCGUGGGGAUCAAACAGGAUUAGAUACCCUGGUAGUCCACGCCGUAAACGAUGAGUGCUAAGUGUUAGGGGGUUUCCGCCCCUUAGUGCUGCAGCUAACGCAUUAAGCACUCCGCCUGGGGAGUACGACCGCAAGGUUGAAACUCAAAGGAAUUGACGGGGACCCGCACAAGCGGUGGAGCAUGUGGUUUAAUUCGAAGCAACGCGAAGAACCUUACCAAAUCUUGACAUCCUUUGACAACUCUAGAGAUAGAGCCUUCCCCUUCGGGGGACAAAGUGACAGGUGGUGCAUGGUUGUCGUCAGCUCGUGUCGUGAGAUGUUGGGUUAAGUCCCGCAACGAGCGCAACCCUUAAGCUUAGUUGCCAUCAUUAAGUUGGGCACUCUAAGUUGACUGCCGGUGACAAACCGGAGGAAGGUGGGGAUGACGUCAAAUCAUCAUGCCCCUUAUGAUUUGGGCUACACACGUGCUACAAUGGACAAUACAAAGGGCAGCGAAACCGCGAGGUCAAGCAAAUCCCAUAAAGUUGUUCUCAGUUCGGAUUGUAGUCUGCAACUCGACUACAUGAAGCUGGAAUCGCUAGUAAUCGUAGAUCAGCAUGCUACGGUGAAUACGUUCCCGGGUCUUGUACACACCGCCCGUCACACCACGAGAGUUUGUAACACCCGAAGCCGGUGGAGUAACCUUUUAGGAGCUAGCCGUCGAAGGGGG
RNAcentral lists this ribosomal RNA (1450 nucleotides) under Staphylococcus aureus. Its description in RNAcentral is "bacterial SSU rRNA". It matches the Rfam family "Bacterial small subunit ribosomal RNA". The record is from RNAcentral. Lineage: Bacteria; Bacillati; Bacillota; Bacilli; Caryophanales; Staphylococcaceae.